CCCGCACAAGCGGUGGAGCAUGUGGUUUAAUUCGAUGCAACGCGAAGAACCUUACCUGGUCUUGACAUCCACGGAAGUUUUCAGAGAUGAGAAUGUGCCUUCGGGAACCGUGAGACAGGUGCUGCAUGGCUGUCGUCAGCUCGUGUUGUGAAAUGUUGGGUUAAGUCCCGCAACGAGCGCAACCCUUAUCAUUAGUUGCUACGCAAGGGCACUCUAAUGAGACUGCCGGUGACAAACCGGAGGAAGGUGGGGAUGACGUCAAGUCCUCAUGGCCCUUAUGGGUAGGGCUUCACACGUCAUACAAUGGUCGGUACAGAGGGUUGCCAAGCCGCGAGGCGGAGCCAAUCCCACAAAGCCGAUCGUAGUCCGGAUUGUUCUCCGCAACUCGAGAGCAUGAAGUCGGAAUCGCUAGUAAUCGCAGGUCAGCAUACUGCGGUGAAUACGUUCCCGGGUCUU
This 456-nucleotide ribosomal RNA is filed under the name uncultured Thiothrix sp. RNAcentral's name for it is "bacterial SSU rRNA". It matches the Rfam family "Bacterial small subunit ribosomal RNA", at positions 920 to 1382 of the family's 1533-position model. The record is from RNAcentral. Lineage: Bacteria; Pseudomonadati; Pseudomonadota; Gammaproteobacteria; Thiotrichales; Thiotrichaceae.